UUACGGCCGUAUCACGUUGGAGCACCGGUUCUCGCACGAUCACCUAAGUUAAGCAACGUCGACCCUGGCCAGUACGCAGAUGGGUGACCACUUGGGAAUACCAUGUGCCGCAAG
This is a non-coding RNA of Acanthosepion pharaonis, 114 nucleotides long. The record is from the annotation of a GenBank genome assembly. Lineage: Eukaryota; Metazoa; Mollusca; Cephalopoda; Sepiida; Sepiidae.